AAAGAGAAGGCCAAGACACGCACGUGAAUGGACAGAGAACAGAACAGAGGGCAGUGUUUCCACAUCGACGCCUAGAGAAAGUGUGUCUUCCUGAAAGGAUUAGGGUAGGCUUUUGGAAGAAGGUGGCAAUUAGAAGUGGCCUUGAAUGACGGAAAGGAUUCUGAUGGGAGGAGCGGCUGGGGGCUGUCCAGGCAGGAGAAGGAGAGGCGGCGUGGUGCGUAUCUGGAGAGCCCAAGCAGUCUGACGUCGGAGCAGAGGCUAAGAGCUGGGGAGCUGUGCAGCUGAGAGAGUAGAUUGGAAAACACCACGCUGAUCAGGAAAGCAUGUGGAGCCCAGGAUGCUGUAAUUUUCGUCCUGCCUGAUCUGCUAAGGCAUUCGGGAGCUAUGGCGACCACAGAGCAGUGUCUGCAGAGAAGGAAAGCAGAGCAGCCCAUCUAUCACCUCCAAGGACGGAAAAUGCAGUAAAUUCAGGAGAAGCAAUACUUCGAAAUGUCAACCUUUACUUAAGGCUGCAUAACGCUUUCAGGAGAGGGGACACAGAAAAACAGCCAUCGGGCGCUGGCUGCAGGAGACUGACACAGGCAAUUUGGAUCAAUACACGCUGAUGUGUCCCAGCGAUUCAGCCAAGAGUUGUAAAGCUAGUCAGCUUCUUGGUGCAGAAAAGGAGACCUGACAGAUGGAGACGGUGGUUGAUGGAGGUCCAGAUUGGCCUUCUUUCUCAGGGUGUCCACCUGGGCUUCUAAGCCGCCUCCAGAAUCGGAGGAUCCUUUGUCUUCAGCAGUCUACUGGGAGGGAAGUUUAUUUGCCCCACUCCUCAUGAUCCCUACAGAAUAGGGGACCCCUCCCCACGCUCUCCCCUCAGGAAGAUUACGGGGGCAACAUGACCAGGCCUUCUUUCUAGGCUUCCUUGGGAAAAUGGAGAGAGGGCCUGACACCCACCUUACUCAGCACAUGUGUCUGCUCACAGGUCAUCUCCCCUCCACGCUGCCCUGAGUCCUGCAUAUGAGUGCCCCUGCUGCUCCCCCUGCGGCCAAGGCAUGAUUUCCACCCAGGGGAAAGCGAAGACGCCUCUUUUGGCCUCGGAUCCCAGCCAAGUCUUCAGUCGGCCUUCUCGGCAAGAACACCGUUCCUGUGAUCUUUAAUUCUCUGUGUGUUAUGUCUCCCUUGGUUUGGAAUCCAGAGGGGAGGAGCAGUGUGGGUUGUUAACACCCUCAAAUCCCCAAUGCUGUGGAGAAACCCAGGAAGCCAAAUGCCGAGUUCAAGCGUCAGUAACACUUUCCCUGUUUCCCUUGUCUUGAGCUGCUGUUAAUUCACAAGAUCAGAAUUUAACACCGAGAAUGUACCUAUUCUUGACAAAAACAAAGUCGUGCAGUACAGUGGGCUGGGAAGGCUCGAAAGGUGUGAACCGUGGGACUAGGGCAGCCCCAGUGUACUUAAACUAGGUCCAAUCUGCUCUGGCGAGAACACCGCCCCUCUGUUCUGGAGGAGGAGGUACCCUUCGGCCCCCUACUCCUCAAGCACGUGCUGUAAGCUGUGGUCCAGGCCAGUCUGUCCUUAUUUAUCACACCUGCCGCCCCGUGAGAGGGGCGCUCAUGGUCUUUCCUUUCCCAGAGUGAUGUGGGUCAUCUGCACCUUUUGUUUUCAUCUGAUUUAUCAAGCUGGCCCGAGGGCUUGUCUAGGUCACCCUUCUGUGCAGAGAUGUCUGGCUAAGUCAGAACCUCAGCUCACGAACGUGAAGCGGAAAAUCCCAGAAGCCAAGAGCUCACACGGGAUGCCAGAAGGGGUGCCUGAGGACGGCGUCUUUCAUCUGGGGGCAAAAAUCACUAACCCCUCCUAGCUAGCCCCCUUGAAGAUUAGCCCUGAGCUAACAUCUGCUGCCAAUCCUCCUCUUUUUGCUGAGGAAGCCUGGCCCUGAGCUAACAUCCGUGCCCGUCUUCCUCUACUUUAUAUGUGGGACGCCUGCCACAGCAUGGCUUGCCAAGCGGUGCCAUGUCCGCACCUAGUAUCCGAACUGACAAACCUGGGGCCGCUGAAGCGGAACGUGUGAAUUUAACCGCUGUGCCACCAGGCUGGCCCCUCUUGGUUUCAUUUUUAAUGUCAACACUACUGCCCAGGACGUGGGAGUCUAGAAUUGAACCAUUUAGCAGAAACAGGAUAAUGGAAGGAUUAUUCAUUAGUGCUUCACUCCUACAACUAACCAUAACGAAGAUGAAUGGCUUUACCGUUGCAAAGGACUUCCCAUGUUCAUGUCCUUUAGCCAUCACAACUCUGUGGGAGGAAGUUUUAUUUUUUUUCUUUGAAUGGGGAGAUGAGUAAAUAGAGGUUAAGUGCGUGACUUACUUUCAUGAAGCUGGUAAGGGCAUAACCAGCAUAGCAAAGAUCAGAAAGAAGGUUUCUGACCCCAGGCCUGGGCUUGUUUUAUGACCUUCACCCCCGCCCUGAUGGAGACCUUCUCGUAUGGACCAUUUUAUGAUGCUAUAUCAGCGAGGAACUAUAUUUGACUGACAGUCAGAGAGAUCCCAAGAAUAAAGACUCCAAGCCUUUAUUCUUUGACAAAGAAAAAGGUCUGAGAGGGAAACAGCCUGGGGUUGUACGCAGCUUCACAAAAUCAUCAGAGACUUGGCUUCCUGUGACUAUGACCUUCAUUUUCUUCGUCCAAGAUGGUUGCUGGAGCUCUCGCCAUCACAGAUUUCAUAUUGCAACCAACCUUUAAGAAACUACUACUUGUCAAGUUUCGGUGCAAUAUCAAAGAAGAAUGUUCACAAUUAUUUGAAAAAGCUGUUCACAUACUUCUCCCUUUCCGACCACUUAUCUGUAUGAGCUGGAUUUUCUGUAUACACUUCAACUCAAAGAACGUAUCCCAACAGACUGAUGCAGAAGCAUAUAUGAGAAUAUUAUUUCCCUUCAGCUGAACAUUAAAGAGAUUUACAAAAAUGGAAAAUGAUGCCACUUUUCUCAUUAAAUUUUUCUUUGGAAAUCAUAGUUAUUUUUCAUAAAAAUAGUUAUUUUCAC
Molecule: long non-coding RNA, 3012 nt
Organism: Equus caballus (horse)
Lineage: Eukaryota; Metazoa; Chordata; Mammalia; Perissodactyla; Equidae
Source: Ensembl